Molecule: non-coding RNA, 6037 nt
Organism: Sus scrofa (pig)
Lineage: Eukaryota; Metazoa; Chordata; Mammalia; Artiodactyla; Suidae
Source: RefSeq, a predicted model, not a curated record
UGGCCUGGCGGUUUGGUCUGGAGCAGCUGAAACCGGUUUGAGCGGAGCCGCUUCCUGCCGCUGGGCGCCGCAGCGGUCCGACUCGGAGAGAGCUGGCGAGGUGCGCACGGCGGGUACCCGGCACCUCGGCCCGCGGCACUGCUGUCUGGCGCUGCGGUGGAGGCGCGGACCAGUGGACGGGGCAGGACAUCCUAAAAUAAAACCAUCAGAAUGACACCUUCUCAGGUUACCUUUGAAAUAAGAGGAACUCUUUUACCAGGAGAGGUUUUUGCAAUAUGCGGAAGCUGUGAUGCUUUGGGAAAUUGGAAUCCUCAAAAUGCUGUGGCUCUUCUUCCAGAGAAUGAGACAGGUGAAAGCAUGUUAUGGAAAGCAACCAUUGUACUCAGUAGAGGAGUAUCAGUUCAGUAUCGCUACUUCAAAGGGUGCUUUUUAGAACCAAAGAAAAUGAAAUUAUUAUUGAUGAUGGACAAUUUGGAAUCCACAAUGGUGUUGAGACUCUGGAUUCUGGAUGGCUGACGUGUCAGACUGAAAUCAGAUUACGUUUGCAUUAUUCUGAAAAACCUCCUGUUUCAAUAACCAAGAAAAAAUUUAAAAAAUCUAGAUUUAGGGUAAAGCUGACACUCGAGGGUCUGGAGGAAGAUGAUGAUGAUAGAGUAUCUCCCACUGUCCUUCACAAAAUGUCCAACAGCCUGGAGAUAUCUUUAAUAAGUGACAAUGAGUUCAAGUGCAGGCAUUCCCAGCCAGAGUGUGGGUAUGGCUUACAGCCUGAUCGUUGGACAGAAUAUAGUAUACAGACAAUGGAACCAGAUAACCUGGAACUAAUAUUUGAUUUUUUUGAGGAAGAUCUCAGUGAGCAUGUCGUUCAGGGUGAUGCUCUUCCUGGGCAUGUGGGUACAGCAUGCCUCUUAUCAUCCACUAUUGCGGAGAGCGGGAAAAGUGCUGGAAUCCUUACCCUUCCCAUCAUGAGCAGAAAUUCUAGAAAAACAAUAGGCAAAGUGAGAGUUGACUAUAUAAUUAUUAAGCCAUUACCAGGAUAUGGUUGUGACAUGAAAUCCUCAUUUUCCAAGUAUUGGAAGCCAAGAACACCAUUGGAUGUUGGACAUCGAGGUGCAGGGAAUUCUACAACAACUGCUCAGCUUGCUAAAGUUCAGGAAAAUACUAUUGCUUCUUUAAGAAAUGCUGCUAGUCACGGUGCAGCCUUUGUAGAAUUUGAUGUUCAUCUGUCAAAAGAUUUUGUGCCUGUGGUAUAUCAUGAUCUCACCUGUUGUUUGACUAUGAAAAAGAAAUUUGAUGCUGAUCCAGUUGAAUUAUUUGAAAUUCCAGUAAAGGAAUUAACAUUUGACCAACUACAGUUGUUGAAGGUAGUAAUAAUAGCAUAAAAUAUAAAUUAUCUUUUAGUAAAAUAUAAAUUACCUGUUUGUACUUGUCUUUGUAUCGUGAUGUCUUUGCACAUUUGGAUGACUACACACACACACACACACACCACACACACACACACACACACACACACACAGCAUGCGUAGAGUUUAUGUUUUGGUUUUCUGUUCUAUUAUGCAGAACGGGUAUCAGCUAAUCCACCUUCCCUUCUUUAACAAUUUCCGUGGACCCCAUUGGUUUUUGCUUUUGUGAAGGAGCUGGGUUAUAAGUCUUUAUAGGCCAUAGGGGCUAGCCAUAAUCUUAGAUUGUCUCUGGUCUGUUUUAGCGUUUUAUAAUUUUACACUUGGCCUUUUAUGUUAUUGUUGGUUUUUAUACCUAUGCUAUUAUCUAAGAUCCUUGUGUAUUUUUCCAUAAUGUUACAUGAUCCCUCUUCCUAUUCUCGUUAGAUACCUAAAUCCCUACUUGGGUAUUUGAUCAUGAUCUUAUAUGUAUGUAUAAUAUUAAAUAUAUACAUCAGUAAGUGUUUAUUAUUAAAGUUAUUAUUAUUAAAUAAUUCUGUAUUUUAUAAUUUUCUCUAAAUAGCUUUUCAAGUUAUAAUUCUGUUAACCAUAUCUCCAUAAACUAACACCUUUUUUUCUGAUUGCAUUUUGGGCAUUUUCUAGCUCACUCAUGUGACUGCACUGAAAUCUAAGGAUCUGAAAGAAUCUGUGGUUGAGGAAGAAAAUUCUCUUUCUGAAAAUCAGCCAUUUCCUUCUCUUAAGAUGGUUUUAGAGUCUCUGCCAGAAGAUGUAGGGUUUAACAUAGAAAUAAAAUGGAUCUGCCAACAAAGGGAUGGAAUGUGGGAUGGUAACUUAUCAACAUAUUUUGACAUGAAUAUGUUUUUGGAUAUAAUUUUAAAAACUGUCUUGGAAAAUUCUGGAAAAAGGAGGAUAGUGUUUUCUUCAUUUGAUGCAGAUAUUUGCACAAUGGUUCGGCAAAAGCAGAACAAAUAUCCGAUAUUAUUUUUGACUCAAGGGAAAUCUGAUAUUUACCCUGAACUCAUGGACCUUAGAUCUCGGACAACCCCCAUUGCAAUGAGCUUUGCACAGUUUGAAAAUCUAUUGGGGAUUAAUGCACAUACUGAAGACUUACUCAGAAACCCAUCCUAUAUUCAGGAGGCAAAAGCUAAGGGACUGGUCAUAUUCUGCUGGGGUGAUGAUACCAACGAUCCUGAAAACAGAAAGAAAUUAAAGGAACUGGGAGUUAAUGGUCUAAUUUAUGAUAGGAUAUAUGAUUGGAUGCCUGAACAGCCAAAUAUAUUCCAAGUGGAGCAGUUAGAACGCCUGAAGCAAGAACUGCCAGAGCUUAAGAGCUGUUUGUGCCCCACUGUUAGUCGCUUUGUUCCCUCGUCCUUGUGUGGGGAGCCUGACAUCCAUGUGGAUGCCAACAGCAUUGACAAUGUGGACAGUGCUUAGUAUUUGCUGGGCAGGGACCAUUUAGGGCAUGCACCGCUGUUCUGGGUAUUCACUUUUCAUCACUGAGCAUUGUUUAUGCCUUUUAAGUUUUCAGUCCAAUGAAGCAAUAAUGAAGUAUUUUACUAUUUCACUACAACUCUUGCUAGAAUUUCAAGUAUGCUAUUUGAACCACUUGGCCAGGUAUAAUUACCAGUUAGUCUCUCUACAUUGAGAAAAUGUAUUGGUAAAUAUUUUAAACUCAAUAUGUAAGUGUAUAAUGUUAAACAAAUGUUUGUUAAAAAUGUAGCACCUUGAAAUUAACUAUAAAAGUAUCUCAUAUUUCUACUUAUUACAGAUUUUCAUUUGAUCAGGUCUGAAAUAUUUAGCACUUGAGGAACACGACUAUGCAUAAUUAUACCUGACCAUAGGAAAAAUAAGUACCUCAAAUGCAUGCAUUUGCACUGGUGAUUCCAACUGCACAGAUCUUUGUGCCAUCUGUAUAUAUAUGUAUUUUUUACAUGGAUUGACAUGCACACCUAUACCAUUUUCAUUCAGUGUGAACCUUGAGGCUGCUGCCGUUCUCCCACUUAAACAAACCAAUGCCUGUGUGAACAGCCUCGAGGUGAUCCUCAAAAACUUGUUUUAUAAAUCUUUCAAAAGUUGUUUUGCAUAAAUAUUAAGAUUUCAAAAUGCUGCAGGGUAAUUUAAUGUAUAAACUAACUAGAACAAGUGUGGAUUGAAUACUUAGUACAAUAGAUCAUAAUGUAUAAAUUCUAUUCAAUGCAUGCUGUAGGUUCCAAGCAUGGGAUUGUAUACGUUUACUAUAAGUCCUUGCAUCUGUGGUGCUAGGUGAGUGUGAGAAGGUGUCAAGGACUGAAAAAUAUUUUGUUGCCUAAAAAAAAAGAAAAGAAAGGAAAAAGAAAAAAAGCCUGUUUUUAGGCAUUUUAAAUAUGCUUAAUUGUCUCUCACUACCUAUUACACACUGUUGCUUUGUGGUUUGUUUCGUGUGUGUAUGUGUUGUACAGUAGUUAAAUAUCAAUGCAGAAAAAUAAAUGUCCUGAAUUCUCAUAUUGGUAUUUUUUAUUGGUUAAUGUAUAUCAUGCAUGUAAUUUAUUUAGAAAUGUAGCAUAUUCUACUAAAUGUAUAUGCAUGUUUGGAUUAUACACAAUUUUCUUUCAUAAGAAGCAGAUUGUUUUGGCAUAACUGUAACUUAAGAGUGAAUGUUAAAUAAAAUAGAUUUAUUUUCUUCAUUAUAAGAUGAAAUUUCAAGAAGGUGUUACUUUUGUAUAAUUGGUUCUAUUAUUAUUGUUGUUAUUAUUAUGAGAAAUUGGAAUUUAGUGUUAACCCUGAAGGGAUAGCUUAUUUGCAUCUACUUUUUACUGUGUGUUCCUCCCUAGGCAGCUUAUUCAUGUAUUGACAUAUUUUGGUAAUAGCUGAGAACCUAAAACUGGGAUUAUAUGUUGUAUUUUUUUAUUUUUUUAAACCAGGCAGUGCAGUUUGGUUCAGAUCUUAAUUGUGUGAAGAUAGGCUUUAAAAUCUUAGGGUAUUGUGUUUGUAACACUGAUAUUUAGUGGAAUAUACUUUAGGAGAGUCUGCUACAGGGGUUUUGUAUGCUUUUUUCAUGUCGAAAGAGAUUUUCCAACACUUGGUGUGGAAAUUCACUUGGUGAGAAAUAGGCACUUCUAGAAAACUCCUGAAAAACAAUUACUUUUCUUGAUCUGCAGACCUGUGUACAGUACAGGUGCCAUUACGUUAUGGCAACUUGAUUAGCCCUGUGUGUGCAUUUCUAGCCCUAUUCAUUUGUUCCUCCCCUACGCCUUUCCAUUUCCAGCUCCAUUUUGUAGACUCGAAGUUCACGAAGGGAAAGAAUGAGGAGGAAAGAAGUGACGUGAGCGUCAGUUUCCUAAACAGUAUAGUUGGCUGAGAAGAGCAGCCCCUGCUUAUGACAAGGACAGAAGCUCACUGCUCAACUUUCUUUCCCGUCUCUUCCUGACUAUAAACACCAGGGUGAAUAGAUGAUUAACAGUAAGCAGUGGCUUCCAUAUCACUAGCUCUUGUCCUAUACACUCUGCUCCAACCAGACUGCCCUGUGCUGGGCCCCGGCCCUGCCACAUUCCUUCACUGCUGCUUUCUGUAGCCAAGUGCCCUCUGCCUGGAAGCCUCCCUGACACUUCUCCCUGCCAGAUGCACUUCUUCAAGGCCAUUCAUUGACCUCCAUCUGCUGCACCCUUGCCAAAACUUUAAGAAGGGAUGAAUCCAUUUUUUUUUUUUAAACUCCACAGCCACAUGUUCAUUCCUUGACCAUGCUUUGCAUUUUAGUACUUUCUAGGUAGGCAUUAUUGAUAAUUUGUCUCAGCAGGCUGCAGGCUCUUCAAGGGCAGGGACCUUGUCGUAAAAUUUUUUCUUUCCACAGUGCAUGGAACAUAGUAGAAAAUAAAUGUUGGCAUUAUUGGGAUAAUGUAAUUUGUAUCAAAUGAGAUUUCGAUUGUUUACUAAGUAUGUAAACUUUGAAUUGGUUUGCAUUUUGGCAUUUGGAACAAUUUAUUGAUGUCAGUUUUAAAUGUAGAGGUAUAAUGUUGUCUUAUAUUUUCUGGAAAUUGAGUGAAAUGUUUGAUACAAUGCUGCCAUUGUUCUCUGGUAUUUUCCACCCUCUGGAAUUAUGUACUGUAACCAACUGGAUGUAAAUGUGAGGAACACAGCUCAUUCCUAUGUCUGUGGUGCCUGAGGGCCACCACAGGCACCCGUUUACCUCACUCAUCACUCCUUGUGACACUUGUCUUCUUCCUGCCUAGCCCACCGCUUAGGCUACCUCAGCACCGCUCCCUUGUCUUCCUUCUGCGUUCAGCUCAGGUGCCACCUCCUCCAAAAACCUUCCUCAGCUUUUGACCAGAACCAUGAUGCUAACCAGUGCAGACAGCCUCUAAAUCUAACUAGUUUGCGGCUGGGGAAGUAAAAAACCCAGACAAGUUAACUGACUUACCAGGUUGGGACUAGAUCUGGGCCCUGUGUUCUUAAACAACGCUGCCUUCUGAAUUCUCAUGGCAUUUGUUAGCAUAUGCUUUCUUGUAGUCCCACCUUUCUUGUGCCUGUUAUAUUUCCCUAACAAGAUUGUAAGCCCCUUAAGGGCAAGGACUUCUCUGCAUUUCUAGCACUACCAUAGUGUUCUAGACUUAGUUAUGAACUAGAUAAAUAAAUGGUGGUGGCUACAAUCGCCGUUUCCUAACUCA